RNAcentral lists this ribosomal RNA (269 nucleotides) under uncultured bacterium. Its description in RNAcentral is "partial 16S ribosomal RNA". It matches the Rfam family "Bacterial small subunit ribosomal RNA", at positions 524 to 787 of the family's 1533-position model. The record is from RNAcentral.
UACGUAGGGUGCGAGCGUUAAUCGGAAUUACUGGGCGUAAAGCGUGCGCAGGCGGUUCGUCGUGUCUGAUGUGAAAGCCCCGGGCUCAACCUGGGAAUGGCAUUGGAAACUGGCGGACUAGAGUGUGGCAGAGGGGGGUGGAAUUCCGCGUGUAGCAGUGAAAUGCGUAGAGAUGCGGAGGAACACCGAUGGCGAAGGCAGCCCCCUGGGCUAACACGUGACGCUCGAGGCACGGAAAGCGUGGGGAGCGAAACAGGAUUGAGAUACCC